AAAUGAAUUGACGGGGACCCGCACAAGCGGUGGAUGAUGUGGAUUAAUUCGAUGCAACGCGAAAAACCUUACCUACGCUUGACAUGUCUGGAAUCCCUCAGAGAUGGGGGAGUGCUCGAAAGAGAGCCAGAACACAGGUGCUGCAUGGCUGUCGUCAGCUCGUGUCGUGAGAUGUUGGGUUAAGUCCCGCAACGAGCGCAACCCUUAUCAUUAGUUGCUACGAAAGGGCACUCUAAUGAGACUGCCGGUGACAAACCGGAGGAAGGUGGGGAUGACGUCAAGUCCUCAUGGCCCUUAUGCGUAGGGCUUCACACGUCAUACAAUGGUCGGUACAGAGGGUUGCCAACCCGCGAGGGGGAGCCAAUCCCACAAAACCGAUCGUAGUCCGGAUUGCAGUCUGCAACUCGACUGCAUGAAGUCGGAAUCGCUAGUAAUCGCGGAUCAGCAUGUCGCGGUGAAUACGUUCCCGGGUCUUGUACACACCGCCCGU
Molecule: ribosomal RNA, 490 nt
Filed under: uncultured bacterium
Lineage: Bacteria
Description: bacterial SSU rRNA
Rfam family: Bacterial small subunit ribosomal RNA
Source: RNAcentral